UGGGGGAAUUUCCUCAUAAUGUGAGGAAAUUAUAGGAUACAAAUAUAUUACAUAUCAAUUGCUUGGGAUUUAAAAUGAAAUAGCAGGAACCAAGUACAGAAGAUUUUGGAUCUUAGAACCCAGGUUCGAUUCCUGGUCCCCCAGCCA
This 147-nucleotide transfer RNA is filed under the name Nitrospirales bacterium. RNAcentral describes it as "tRNA-OTHER". The record is from RNAcentral. Lineage: Bacteria; Pseudomonadati; Nitrospirota; Nitrospiria; Nitrospirales.